RNAcentral lists this ribosomal RNA (493 nucleotides) under uncultured bacterium. RNAcentral's name for it is "partial 16S ribosomal RNA". It matches the Rfam family "Bacterial small subunit ribosomal RNA", at positions 29 to 523 of the family's 1533-position model. The record is from RNAcentral.
AUUGAACGCUGGCGGCAUGCUUUACACAUGCAAGUCGAACGGUAACAGGUUAAGCUGACGAGUGGCGAACGGGUGAGUAAUGCAUCGGAACGUGCCCGGUCGUGGGGGAUAACGCAGCGAAAGCUGCGCUAAUACCGCAUACGAUCUGAGGAUGAAAGCGGGGGACCGUAAGGCCUCGCGCGAUCGGAGCGGCCGAUGUCAGAUUAGGUAGUUGGUGGGGUAAAGGCUCACCAAGCCGACGAUCUGUUGCUGGUCUGAGAGGACGACCAGCCACACUGGGACUGAGACGCGGCCCAGACUCCUACGGGAGGCAGCAGUGGGGAAUGUUGGGCAAUGGGCGCAAGCCUGAUCCAGCAAUGCCGCGUGCAGGAAGAAGGCCUUCGGGUUGUAAACUGCUUUUGUACGGGGCGAAAAGGCUCUCUCUAAUACAGGGGGCUCAUGACGGUACCGUAAGAAUAAGCACCGGCUAACUACGUGCCAGCCGCCGCCGUAA